This 472-nucleotide ribosomal RNA is filed under the name uncultured bacterium. RNAcentral's name for it is "bacterial SSU rRNA". It matches the Rfam family "Bacterial small subunit ribosomal RNA", at positions 355 to 825 of the family's 1533-position model. The record is from RNAcentral.
UGGGGAAUAUUGGACAAUGGGGGAAACCCUGAUCCAGCGACGCCGCGUGUGUGAAGAAGGCCUGCGGGUUGUAAAGCACUUUCGGUGGGAACGAAAUAUGCCGGGCUAAUACCCCGGUAGGCUGACGUUACUCAAUGAAGAAGCACCGGCUAACUCUGUGCCAGCAGCCGCGGUAAUACAGAGGGUGCGAGCGUUAAUCGGAAUUACUGGGCGUAAAGCGCACGUAGGUGGCGACGUAAGUCGGGUGUGAAAGCCCCGGGCUCAACCUGGGAACCGCAUUCGGGACUGCGUUGCUGGAGUACGGAAGAGGAGGGCGGAAUUCCCGGUGUAGCGGUGAAAUGCGUAGAUAUCGGGAGGAACAUCAGUGGCGAAGGCGGCCCUCUGGUCCAGUACUGACACUCAAGUGCGAAAGCGUGGGGAGCAAACAGGAUUAGAUACCCUAGUAGUCCCUGAGCGGGCUGGCAAGGCGCAU